UUCAGAUUGGGUGGCUGUGACAAAGAGAGGAAAAUAGAGUCCCUCCCUAUAAGGGUUUCACCAUUGAAGGAGCUUAUUUCAUCCCGUGGUGACAUGUUCAAUCAGUGUUGCUUUCCUUCGGAGGAUUUCUAUUUGUGAAUCUACAGGAAAUUUUUUUUUGAGUGCAGGAAUGUGCCAAAAAAUGGCAAAUGUUUUACUAGAAAAGAGAUGGAGGAUUACUGUUUUCAAAGGGUUAAGAAGCAUGGAUAAAAAUAUAGAAAGCUAUAUGAUCGGAUCAAUGAUUUACCAGAUGUGGUAUGUUGACAUUACAAACUUGGGCCUUUGCCUCUAGCUGACCCAUUAAGGAGGUGUGGACCGUAGUGAUGUGAAACUUCUCUCAAAUUGUUCAGCUUGAAGGUCCAAGUUUCAUAUUGGUUUCACUCCAAGGCAGGAUCUAGUUAUAUAUUCUGUUGCAUAUAUUGAUGGUAGACCAUAGGUUGAGUUUUGUUGAGAUGGCGGUGCCAUAUGGAGGCCCAAAUGAUUCCAAGCUAUGGUGAUAAGGGAAAAGCAUCAAUCAGGAGAGUGCCCUCAUGGAUAAUUCUAAAACAUCCAGCGAAAAUGGAAAUACAGGCCAGUCAAUGAAUUUUGUUGACAUUGAAAAUAUAAGAACAUUGAAAAUAAUGAGAUGCUUGGCAUGGCUUCUGGAAAUAUUGGUAGCAGAUUUGUUAGCCAAAAGGAAGUGUAUGUCAAGAUGCUCUAUUUAGUGGGAAGUGCUGCCAAGAAUUUUUCGUCUUAAAGGAUAUCACGUGGGAUGCUCAGGAAAGACUACAUUACUGAUUUGAUUGAGUUUAUUUAGGAUUGUUUGUCUUUGUUUUGGAUUGUUCUCUGUUGAUGGCCAUGCCGUAGGUGGAAAAGUGAUCUAAAAUCUAUAUGUUGUAUUUGCCUUCCGGGUAUGCCUGGACAUUAUUCAUGUAUUUCUGUUCCAUUUUUAUAUAUUUACAAGUCAGCUAAUGAAUAUUGUAGACAUUGAAAAUAUCAGAACAACAUUUGAUUUCGCAAAUAUUGAGAUGCUUGGUAUGGCUUUCUGUUAA
Molecule: long non-coding RNA, 1070 nt
Organism: Macadamia integrifolia
Lineage: Eukaryota; Viridiplantae; Streptophyta; Magnoliopsida; Proteales; Proteaceae
Exons: 3
Source: RefSeq, a predicted model, not a curated record